Molecule: long non-coding RNA, 478 nt
Organism: Homo sapiens (human)
Lineage: Eukaryota; Metazoa; Chordata; Mammalia; Primates; Hominidae
Source: Ensembl
CCUGGCCUUGCAUUCCAGCUCAGCGGGUGGAAGGUAUAAAUUUCAGCUGCUCUCAGCCCUGCUGUGUUUUUCCAAAGCCUUCCAACAGCAACAUGAAGUUGGCAGCCUUCCUCCUCCUGUGAUCCUCAUCAUCUUCAGCCUAGAGGUACAAGAGCUUCAGGCUGCAGGAGACCGGCUUUUGGGUACCUGCGUCGAGCUCUGCACAGGUGACUGGGACUGCAACCCCGGAGACCACUGUGUCAGCAAUGGGUGUGGCCAUGAGUGUGUUGCAGGAUGAAGAGUUAUCUUAAGGAUCAUCUUUCCCUAAGAUCGUCAUCCCUUCCUGGAGUUCCUAUCUUCCAAGAUGUGACUGUCUGGAGUUCCUUGACUAGGAAGAUGGAUGAAAACAGCAAGCCUGUGGAUGGAGACUACAGGGGAUAUGGGAGGCAGGGAAGAGGGGUUGUUUCUUUUAAUAAAUCAUCAUUGUUAAAAGCACUCA